This is a long non-coding RNA of Myxocyprinus asiaticus (Chinese sucker), 422 nucleotides long. RefSeq lists it as uncharacterized. The record is from RefSeq and is a predicted model, not a curated record. The transcript has 4 exons. NCBI's taxonomy places the organism in Eukaryota, Metazoa, Chordata, Actinopteri, Cypriniformes, Catostomidae.
AUGAAUUUCAAUGCAGGUCCAGGCUGGAUUGGGGCGGAGGCAGGAUUAAAGGCAUCAUAGGCAUGCUCCCAUUACGAGGAUACUUCAAAAGGUUUUUCUUGGCCAUAGAUGAGGGGAAGAAAGAAGAGGGAGGGAAAUGUCAAGACAGAGAGUGCAGCUUUGAGUCAAUUUGGACAUGGAGCUUUUCUGAUGGACUCCAUCUUCCAAAGCAAGGCUGCUGAUAAAUUAUGUCUGGUGAGAGCAACAUGCCCGCAAGCAGGAUGAGAGCUGGACCACCGAACACUCCUGGGGUUCCAUCAGUCUAUCUAUUCUUUCCCCAUUCUCUUUCUUUUUCUCUUUAUUUCAUUCCUGUCUUUUUCCUUGACUUAGACACAUACACAAAGCACGUGACACCUGCCUCUCGAUCUGCUUUCAGAAACACA